RNAcentral lists this ribosomal RNA (253 nucleotides) under uncultured bacterium. Its description in RNAcentral is "partial 16S ribosomal RNA". It matches the Rfam family "Bacterial small subunit ribosomal RNA", at positions 524 to 776 of the family's 1533-position model. The record is from RNAcentral.
UACGGAGGGUGCAAGCGUUAUCCGAAUUCACUGGGUUUAAAGGGUGCGUAGGUGGGUUGGUAAGUCAGUGGUGAAAUCUGCAAGCUUAACUUGGAAACUGCCGUUGAUACUAUCAAUCUUGAAUCUCGUGGAGGUAAGCGGAAUAUGUCAUGUAGCGGUGAAAUGCUUAGAUAUGACAUAGAACACCGAUAGCGAAGGCAGCUUGCUACACGAGUAUUGACACUGAGGCACGAAAGCGUGGGGAUCAAACAGG